Legionella shakespearei DSM 23087 is the source of this 95-nucleotide small RNA. It matches the Rfam family "Legionella RNA 69". NCBI's taxonomy places the organism in Bacteria, Pseudomonadati, Pseudomonadota, Gammaproteobacteria, Legionellales, Legionellaceae. The record is from Rfam.
AGCCAGUCGUUACUUCGAUGCCGUUCGGGCUGAGGAAGCGCGAACGGCAUCGAAGUAACGACUGGAUAAAAAAAGUUUCUUAUCCGAAACUCACG